This 89-nucleotide microRNA precursor is filed under the name Chlorocebus sabaeus (green monkey). RNAcentral describes it as "miRNA (ENSCSAG00000027293.1)". The record is from RNAcentral. Lineage: Eukaryota; Metazoa; Chordata; Mammalia; Primates; Cercopithecidae.
UGUAUUAGGCUGAAGCAAAAGUAAUUGUGGUUUUUGCCGUACUUUUAAUGGCAAAACUGCAAUAACCUUUGCACCAACCUAAUAAAUAU